Molecule: ribosomal RNA, 253 nt
Filed under: uncultured bacterium
Lineage: Bacteria
Description: partial 16S ribosomal RNA
Rfam family: Bacterial small subunit ribosomal RNA
Source: RNAcentral
UACGUAGGGGGCAAGCGUUGUCCGGAAUCAUUGGGCGUAAAGAGCUCGUAGGCGGUUCGUCGCGUCGGCUGUGAAAACCCGGAGCUCAACUCCGGGCCUGCAGUCGAUACGGGCGGACUCGAGUUCGGCAGGGGAGACUGGAAUUCCUGGUGUAGCGGUGAAAUGCGCAGAUAUCAGGAGGAACACCGGUGGCGAAGGCGGGUCUCUGGGCCGAUACUGACGCUGAGGAGCGAAAGCGUGGGGAGCGAACAGG